Molecule: ribosomal RNA, 258 nt
Filed under: uncultured bacterium
Lineage: Bacteria
Description: partial 16S ribosomal RNA
Rfam family: Bacterial small subunit ribosomal RNA
Source: RNAcentral
UGGCGGACGGGCGAGUAACGCGUGGGUAACCUGCCUUGCACUGGGGGAUAACACUUAGAAAUAGGUGCUAAUACCGCAUAAGCGCACGGUCCUGCAUGGGACAGUGUGAAAAACUCCGGUGGUGCAAGAUGGACCCGCGUCUGAUUAGCUGGUUGGCGGGGUAACGGCCCACCAAGGCAGCGAUCAGUAGCCGGCCUGAGAGGGUGGACGGCCACAUUGGGACUGAGACACGGCCCAAACUCCUACGGGAGGCAGCAG